GUAGGGAAUAUUGGGCAAUGGAUGCAAGUCUGACCCAGCCAUCCCGCGUGCCGGAAGAAGGCCCUCAGGGUUGUAAACGGCUUUUGACGGUGAAGAAUCGACAGGAUGCGUCCUGUUUUGACGGUAGCCGUUGAAUAAGCACCGGCUAACUCCGUGCCAGCAGCCGCGGUAAUACGGGGGGUGCGAGCGUUGUCCGGAUUUAUUGGGUUUAAAGGGUGCGUAGGCUGGAAGGUCAGUCAGCGGUGAAAAGCUGUCGCUUAACGAUAGUCUUGCCGCAGAUACUUCCUUUCUUGGAUGAGGAGGAGGCCACUGGAACGGAUGGUGUAGCGGUGAAAUGCAUAGAUAUCAUCCAGAACACCGAUUGCGAAGGCAGGUGGCUGUACCUUAAUCGACGCUGAUGCACGAAAGCAUGGGGAGCAAACAGGAUUAGAUACCCCGGUAGUCC
RNAcentral lists this ribosomal RNA (445 nucleotides) under uncultured bacterium. RNAcentral's name for it is "partial 16S ribosomal RNA". It matches the Rfam family "Bacterial small subunit ribosomal RNA", at positions 354 to 796 of the family's 1533-position model. The record is from RNAcentral.